CAGCUGCAACAGUUGCUGAAUCCACACCAGAUUGUUGAACUUGAACUUGCAUUUCCUCUUGAUCACCACCACCUUGUUCAUCCUCCAAGGGCAAUCUCUCAUAGGUAGCAUUAGCAAAAGUAGCAGCUAUAACCAUAACAGGUCCAGAAGCAACCAAAGGACCUGCAACAGAACCACCAACAACCUGCCCCUGACCACCAGCUAAAUAAACAGUUAAUCCAGUCGCUCCAGCCGGAGAAGGCGGAGGUAGAAAAGCUCCCGAAAGUGAAAGUAUCUCGAAUCUUCCAUGAAGAGUAAUAACACCACCAGGAGCAGCCGGC
Molecule: long non-coding RNA, 320 nt
Filed under: Medicago truncatula (barrel medic)
Lineage: Eukaryota; Viridiplantae; Streptophyta; Magnoliopsida; Fabales; Fabaceae
Description: long non-coding RNA (MTRU_LNC000834)
Source: RNAcentral